Molecule: unclassified non-coding RNA, 194 nt
Filed under: plant metagenome
Description: partial contains small subunit ribosomal RNA, internal transcribed spacer 1, and 5.8S ribosomal RNA
Source: RNAcentral
UUUCCGUAGGUGAACCUGCGGAAGGAUCAUUACAGAAUUAAUGCCCCAAAGGGUAGACCUCCCACCCUUGUUUAUUAUUACUUUGUUGCUUUUUCUAGUUCAAGCUCUCCAGAGAAUACCAAAACUCUUUUUAUUAAUGUCUUCUUAGUACUAUAUAAUAAUUAAAACUUUCAACAACGGAUCUCUUGGUUCUG